This is an RNA transcript of Abrus precatorius (Indian licorice), 3045 nucleotides long. RefSeq lists it as uncharacterized. The transcript has 3 exons. The record is from RefSeq and is a predicted model, not a curated record. Lineage: Eukaryota; Viridiplantae; Streptophyta; Magnoliopsida; Fabales; Fabaceae.
UAGCGCAGUGAGAAAAAUCCCUAUAAAUAAGGGACAAAUGCAACAACGCAUAGGCUUGAAGGCGCUCCUUCAGACUCCAGAGCACCUUCUCCCUAGUAACACACACUCUUCUCUUCUCCCAAACUUUAUUCCUCAUUUUCAAUCCAAAACUGGACCUCAAUAAACCCGCAUCUGAACCUGAACCAAGCAUGUUCGGACCCUCCCAACCCGCUCCUAAAUCCACCGUCAAAUUCCUCUGCAGCUACGGCGGCAAAAUCCUCCCUCGCUAUCCCGACGGCAAGCUCCGUUAUCUCGGCGGCCACACCCGCGUCCUCGCCGUUGAACGCUCCAUUCCAUUCACCGAGCUAUUGCUGAAGCUCGAAGAGCUCUGCGGCUCCUCCGUGAGGCACCUUCGCUGCCAAUUACCCGACGAAGACCUUGACGCUUUGGUUUCCAUCACCUCCGACGAAGAUCUCGCCAAUCUCAUCGAAGAAUACGAGCGCGUCGUGUCGCCGUUGAAGAUCAGAGCCUUCCUCUCGCCACCGAGAUCUUCGACCAAGGUUUUCACACCUCCGUCAUCCUCUCUGUCAAAAUCAGCGUCCUCCUCUUCCUCCUCCUCUGCGUCGUCCACUUCUUCAUCAUCGUCGUAUUGCAGCCCUACCGCCGGUGGUUCAGGUUCCGGGUCUGGCCGGAGGUAUAGGGCUUUGGCGCCGGUGGUGGAGCGCUGCGUCCAUCAUAUGUCGCCGCCGACGGCGUUUCCGGUCGGGGCUGAGAAAUCCUCCGGGAGGAAUAUUCGUGUGCCUCGCUACGGUUACCACCAUGCUCAUGGGAGCGUGUAUAUGAUCCACCACGGUAACCACUGGCAAUAGCGUUACGGUGGUUUGAUUUCGUCCGUGGAAGAUGGAAUAUUGGAAUGGAACUAUUAAGAUUAAGAACCAGCUCUUAUUAUAAAAUGAAAAUGACGAAAGGAACUUUACGAUAAUAUAUAUAACAUUAUUAAAACAAGAUGAAAUUAAAGGAGAAAGAGAUGGGAAAGAAAAGAGUGCUGAAUAUACAUGUGAUGUAAAAUGGGACUGUAAAAUCGUUAACAGGGAUUGCGGUUUUAGCUUGUGAUCCUUCAUUGCCCAUUAAUGAAUUUCACUCCAAUUUCGUGUUUGCCUCCGUUUUUGUAAUGACGGUUUAACCCAAGACUGAAAAAUCGUAUGGGGACACGUUUCAGUUGUAAGUUUUUCUACCCGACAUGAAUUUGGUUAUGCUGAAUGCUUUCUAUUCUUUAAUGGCAAUGUACUGUCAUCCCUCGUUACUCUAUGCUAUAGCAUGGCAAUUUAUCUUUUAUUGAUGCUCCACUUUUUCAAAGAUAUUAAUUCCCAUUCCAUUAUCAGUUACAAAUUAUAUCUUAUAGUAGUAGUACUUCUUAAAAAUUGCAUUUUGGAGAUUAGAGAAUAUUCGUAUUGAAUCGGGAUAAUAAAAAAGAAUUAAUUGCUUUGUUCUCGCUCCGAUACAAAACUUCCAGAUUAUCUUAUUUCAGAACUUUGCUCUAUUUGGUGACCUUUAUUUUCUGCAUAAAUUGUCUAUUCGUGUUUGUUUCCAUUUUGAUUAACUAAUAAUGAUGGUGUUUAAGUUCAGUUAUGGGAUUCGGGCCAGAUUCAAAUGAAGUGCUGCUAUGAACAAUGAACACCGGAAGACAUAUUGGGUUCGUAUGAACACCAAAUAGGGAUGGCAAAGCAUAGCAUGGGGGGACCAAACUCCAUGCAGGAGAUGCAAUGAACUCAACACUAUGAAAUUAAAACUAUCUCAUGACAGCUGGCACAUGAAUGUUCGAAUAACUUGAACUCAUCAUCAUAUAUACCGUACAAAACUGCAAAUUGAUAGAACCAACAUAAAAUGAAUAUCUUUUUUUUUUGUUUUUUUUUUAAAUAACAUAAUAGAAUAAGAAAUAUAUAUAUAAAUAAACGAUUUUUCUAACUAUGUUUAAAGAUACUUAAUAAAAAUUUGUAUAAAGUAAAUAACAAAUAGAUUAAUAACAUUCAAUGAUAUAAUAUUUAAUAAAAAAUCGUAUUAUAAUCUUUUUUAAGGUGCCUCUUUGAAUACAUAUUAUAAAAAUAUUCGAUAUAUACAAAUAGGAUCACCCCUUCAGCUAAGAGGCGUUAAAAAACUAGAUUUAGUAUUGGAAAUUAAAGGACCUCCACUCAUGUAACAUUCAAAGGGAAGAUUCCUUUCGCUGUCUUAGUUUUGGAAGAGAUAUUAACCCACCCAAUUACCUGGAAUCAACUAAUUAGUUUAUUAAUCAAAACAUGUCAGGGGAAGCAUGAAAGUGAGUUCAUUUGUGUAAUCUUCUGGAAGACGGUUUAAGGAUAUCCUACCCCACCAUGUGCGAUCUUUUAUUCCUAUCUCUUUUGGAUUAUAUUACAUGUGUUUAAGCAUAUAAAAGAGUAACAAAUUUAUAAUAACUCAACAUUUGCUAAGAUUGAAUGUUUAAGUUAACUUGAUAAAAGAGGAAAGGUCUCAACUGGGAAGCGACGAAGUCAUGGAUGAUGGAUCUCUUCAGAUAUAAGCCUUGUCCGCUCUGAGCUGCAGUGGAGAACUCCUGACAUUGUAAGGUUAUUGUUCCAUGACAAGCAAACGUCAAUUUUGGACAAGUGAGGGAAAGAACGCUGAGGAAAAUAAAAAAGCAAAGGGGGGAUGUUCGUAUAAUCACAUGCCUCCUCUAAUGCAACAUAGAGAUGGAAGGUAUGGAGGCCAAAAGAAUUAAAAUAUGAAAUUGUGUUUUUUAUUCAUAUCCGUAAAGAGAAUUUAAGCAAACUCGAGUACUGGGGGUCUGAGUAAUUUACACUAGGUCGUAAUUUAAAUCUUAUUGGUUGUAUAAAAAAAAAAAGUUAAGUUUGAAUAAGAUUUUAGUCUUAAUAAUUUUUUAUUUUUAUUUUUACUUUUUAUCAACUCUUAAAAUUUUAUAUUUGAGGAUGUGUUUGAAAGAGGGGAAAUUUUUCGAAAUUUUGGCACCAAAGUUCGAGGCAGAUGAAUGAAUUAUACUAUUUUAAAAGUUUGAAUUUAUUUCAAAGAUUGUUA